UUGUUUCUUUAAAUGGGGACUAGUAUCAACGGCAUCACGAGGGUCCCACUGUCUCCCCCCUCCAAUCAGUGAAACUGAUCUCCCCGUGAAGAAGCGGGGAUAAGUAUAUUAGACGAGAAGACCCCAUGGAGCUUUAAACCCGACAGCACCCACUUAUUUAACACCUUCUUAUCCGCCUGGCCCCUGUCUGCUCGGUUUUGGGUUGGGGUGACCGCGGAGCAUAAAAUAGCCUCCACGAAAGAAGGGAUGAUUCCCUCAUUUUAGAACUACACUUCCAAAGACUAACAAAUUAAUUUUAAGUGAUCCGAUACCCGUAUUCGAUCAACGAACCAAGUUACCCUGGGGAUAACAGCGCAAUCUACCUCAAGAGCCCCUAUCGACAGGUGGGUUUACGACC
RNAcentral lists this ribosomal RNA (397 nucleotides) under Boophis reticulatus. Its description in RNAcentral is "partial 16S ribosomal RNA". It matches the Rfam family "Bacterial large subunit ribosomal RNA", at positions 1969 to 2525 of the family's 2925-position model. Lineage: Eukaryota; Metazoa; Chordata; Amphibia; Anura; Mantellidae. The record is from RNAcentral.